AUUGAACGCUGGCGGCAGGCCUAACACAUGCAAGUCGAGCGGAUGAAGGGAGCUUGCUCCUGGAUUCAGCGGCGGACGGGUGAGUAAUGCCUAGGAAUCUGCCUGGUAGUGGGGGAUAACGUCCGGAAACGGGCGCUAAUACCGCAUACGUCCUGAGGGAGAAAGUGGGGGAUCUUCGGACCUCACGCUAUCAGAUGAGCCUAGGUCGGAUUAGCUAGUUGGUGGGGUAAAGGCCUACCAAGGCGACGAUCCGUAACUGGUCUGAGAGGAUGAUCAGUCACACUGGAACUGAGACACGGUCCAGACUCCUACGGGAGGCAGCAGUGGGGAAUAUUGGACAAUGGGGCAAAGCCUGAUACAGCCAUGCCGCGUGUGUGAAGAAGGUCUUCGGAUUGUAAAGCACUUUAAGUUGGGAGGAAGGGCAGUAAGUUAAUACCUUGCUGUUUUGACGUUACCAACAGAAUAAGCACCGGCUAACUUCGUG
This 484-nucleotide ribosomal RNA is filed under the name uncultured bacterium. RNAcentral describes it as "partial 16S ribosomal RNA". It matches the Rfam family "Bacterial small subunit ribosomal RNA", at positions 30 to 507 of the family's 1533-position model. The record is from RNAcentral.